RNAcentral lists this ribosomal RNA (233 nucleotides) under uncultured bacterium. RNAcentral describes it as "partial 16S ribosomal RNA". It matches the Rfam family "Bacterial small subunit ribosomal RNA", at positions 99 to 334 of the family's 1533-position model. The record is from RNAcentral.
CGAACGGGUGAGUAACACGUGAGCAACCUGCCCUUAGCUUCGGGAUAGCUCCGGGAAACCGGAAUUAAUACCGGAUAUGACUGCGGCCGACAUCGGCCAUAGUGGAAAGUUUUUCGGCUAGGGAUGGACUCGCGGCCUAUCAGCUAGUUGGUGAGGUAAUGGCUCACCAAGGCGACGACGGGUAGCCGGCCUGAGAGGGCGACCGGCCACACUGGGACUGAGACACGGCCCAG